GGCGGCAGGUAGCCUAGUGGUUAGAGUGUAGGGGCGGCAGGUAGUCUAGUGGUUAGAGUGUAGGGGCGGCAGGUAGUCUAGUGGUUAGAGUGUAGGGGCGGCAGGUAGUCUAGUGGUUAGAGUGUAGGGGCGGCAGGUAGCCUAGUGGUUAGAGCGUAGGGGCGGCAGGUAGCCUAGUGGUUAGAGCGUAGGGGCGGCAGGUAGCCUAGUGGUUAGAGCGUAGGGGCGGCAGGUAGCCUAGUGGUUAGUGGUUAGAGCGUAGGGGCGGCAGGUAGCCUAGUGGUUAGAGCGUAGGGGCGGCAGGUAGUCUAGUGGUUAGAGCGUAGGGGCGGCAGGUAGCCUAGUGGUUAGAGCGUAGGGGCGGCAGGUAGCCUAGUGGUUAGAGCGUUGGGCCUGUAACCGGUAGAUUGAAUCCCCGAGCUGACAAGGUAAACAUCUGUCGUUCUGCCCCUGAACAAGGCAGUUAACACACUGUUCCCUGGUAGGCCGUCAUUGAAAAUAAGAAUUUGUUCUUAACUGACUUGCCUUGUUAAAUAAAUUCUUAUGGCCAUAGUUCCCAGUCAUAGUUCCCAUAGUUCCCAGUCUAUUGGUGCUGAUCAGAGGAGAGUGGCGUACUGUAUUCGCAAGGGGACUCGGAGUGCUGAUCUAGAAGCAGGUCAAACAGUUGUCC
Oncorhynchus tshawytscha (Chinook salmon) is the source of this 670-nucleotide long non-coding RNA. The record is from Ensembl. NCBI's taxonomy places the organism in Eukaryota, Metazoa, Chordata, Actinopteri, Salmoniformes, Salmonidae.